AUUGAACGCUGGCGGCAUGCCUAACACAUGCAAGUCGAACGGCAGCAGGGGGUUUGGUCGCGCACGGAGUGGCGAACGGGUGGGUAAUGCCUCGGAAUGUGCCAGGUAGUGGGGGAUAGCGUGCCGAAACCGGGACUAAUACCGCAUACGACCAGAGGGAGAAAGUGGGGGAGCCACAGACCUCGCGCUAUCGGAGGAGCCUAAGUCGGAUUAGCUAGUUGGUGGGGUAAAGGCUUACCAAGGCGACGAUCCGUAACUGGUCUGAGAGGACGACCAGCUACCCUGGCACUGAGGCACGGCCCAGACUCCUAGGGUGGGCAGCAGUGGGGACUUCUGCACGAUGGGGCAAUGCCUGAUCCAGCCAUGCCGCGUGCGGGAUGAAGGACUUCUGCUUCUAGAGCGCUUUAGGUCGGGAGGUUGUCCAGUGCGUUUAUACCCGGUGGUGAUGACGGUACCGGGAGAAUAAGCACCGGCUAACUCCGUG
This 484-nucleotide ribosomal RNA is filed under the name uncultured bacterium. RNAcentral's name for it is "partial 16S ribosomal RNA". It matches the Rfam family "Bacterial small subunit ribosomal RNA", at positions 28 to 507 of the family's 1533-position model. The record is from RNAcentral.